This 381-nucleotide ribosomal RNA is filed under the name uncultured eukaryote. RNAcentral's name for it is "SSU rRNA". It matches the Rfam family "Eukaryotic small subunit ribosomal RNA", at positions 587 to 969 of the family's 1831-position model. The record is from RNAcentral.
AGCACCAAUAGCGUAUAUUAAAGUUGUUGCAGUUAAAAAGCUCGUAGUUGGAUUUGUGGUGUGUCCAGUCGGCCUUUGCUCUCUGAGUGAUUGCGCUGCACUGGUCUGCCAUGUUUGGGUGGAAUCUGUGUGGCAUUAAGUUGUCGUGCAGGGGAUGCCCAUCGUUUACUGUGAAAAAAUUAGAGUGUUUAAAGCAGGCUUAUGCCGUUGAAUAUAUUAGCAUGGAAUAAUAAGAUAGGACUUUGGAUCUAUUUUGUUGGUUUGCGAGUCAAAGUAAUGAUUAAUAGGGACAGUUGGGGGUAUUCGUAUUUCAUUGUCAGAGGUGAAAUUCUUGGAUUUCUGAAAGACGAACUACUGCGAAAGCAUUUACCAAGGAUGUUU